Molecule: long non-coding RNA, 2562 nt
Organism: Daucus carota subsp. sativus
Lineage: Eukaryota; Viridiplantae; Streptophyta; Magnoliopsida; Apiales; Apiaceae
Exons: 4
Source: RefSeq, a predicted model, not a curated record
GCUUAUUCUGUGUGAAUGUUUGAUGCACCUACCUACAACCCUUCGCAUCCUCUCUUCAAUCCCAUCUCGUGCAAUACCUUGGUGGACUAUAAACGAGAUAUAUCUUGAUGUUUUGAUUCGGCAUCUAUUAUGUUAUGAGGCAUUUUGUGUUUGUGUGGCACCAUGAUGUGCGAGCUUUAGAAGAUGAAAGGGGCGACUAGCGGGUGUUAUUAUUGUCAUCGGAUUCACCACUAAUUUACAACCAAUUCUAUUCAUUUUGGAGGAAGAACAAGGUGUUUGAUAAAAUGUUUCACCCAAUCGAUUCUCUUGAGUCUUGACAUUUUGUUGCUAUAUGUUACUACAGAAGCUAUGAGGAGACUGAGAGUUAGUGAGGAAGAGGACGAUGUUGGUAAUGAUGAUUCAAGCAUUUUCCGGAUCGUCCCGGUGAACUGAAUUGCUUAUAUUAUCUCAGGACCGGAAUGUGCGGUUAUGGUGCUACUUGUCGAUUUAAUCAUCCUUCUAAAAUAGAGCUCAAGAGGUGGAAUUCCUGCACGGUCGUUCCCCAAAACAAUAUAGUUGUGUGCUCCUCAUUCAGGAGGUUCGCAGACUUGCGUGCCAAUUAUUUAUCUAUGCACCAGCUCUCCCUUUGGACAUUCUGAUAUGUAGGUCAGAGUAGUAGGUUGGAUGGUUGCAAUGGUACUUUCUCAGAACCAAGACAUUGUUGCACAUUGGCAUUGUCCAUUCCAUAACUUAAGUAUUUGAAGCUACCACAACAAAGAAUUGUAUAUGAAAUACUGAAAUUGUAGAACAUGAUUGCUGGAGCAGUGGAAAUGGAGGGAGGUAUCUUGGUUGUAUCCGCUCCAGAUGAGCCAAUGCCUCAAACAAAGGAACAUAUUCUACUUGCUCGUCAGGUUUCACGCCUUGUCUUUGAUGUUCAGAUUUUUGUAAAAACAAGAUAAUGUUUUAAAUCUUUUAAGUAUCCAAUUUUGGUCGAAUUAUAUAAAUGAAGCUGUAUAUAGAUUAAACUUGAUGCUAUUAUAUGGAAGCCUCAGCAAAUUACGAACCCUGCAUACUUUGAGCUCGAUAAACCUGAUUUUGAGCCUAUUGCUGCUAUUGGCUUUGAAAUUCGAACAAAUUCAAGAUGUUAUAUUGUUUGAUAAUAUAUUGAUAGCAAAUGACGAAAAGGUUGCAGAAUCAUACAGACAGACCGUAUGGAAGCCAAAAUUUGAUGUUGAGAAAGAGAAACAGAAGGCCGAGGAAGAAACAAGCAGUCUUUCAGAUAGUCUGAAAGGUUUUCAGGUAAUUAAUCUAUUUAGUGUUUCGCAUUUCUUCUUUUCUUUAGGUGUAGAUUCUCGUGGCUUAUUCCUUUAGGUGUAAUAUCAUGACCAACUCUACAAGACUGCAGAGUGCAGACAUUCAUGUCUUGCAGAAUCACAAAUUCAAAAUUUUGGUAAGUGCUCGUGCAAAUCUUAUUUUGUACUGCAGUACACUGGGUCGAAAGUACCUGACAUUGUCUGUCACUAACAUAUUGCUACUAAACUUUGUGUUGGAGGAUCUCAUUGAGAAAGCAGAAAGGCAACCAAACAUUACAAUUGGUGUGCUUGUAUCCAUUGUCGUGGUUAUUUUCACUGCUUUGAUAAAACUUCUAUUCGGCCGAGAGAAACCUGAGUUUAUAAACUUUUCUAUAGUAGUUUAGUGCUUCUAUUUAAUUUGGAGAUUUGUCACUACCGGGCAACUUGUACAUGAUUACAGGCAACACCAAAGGUCAGUGUAAAACCGGCGAAGGAAGAAGUAACCGAGGCCUCAAACAAUGGGGAGGAUAGUAGUGAGGAGAAAGAACGAAACGAGGACACAACAGCAGCACCUCGCAGGAGGACCAGGCUUGAAGAUUAGAAUGGAUGAAAAUUUGAUGCCCUCUUGAGGUGGUCUAUAGUUUGGCUUCUGUAAGACUCCUUCUGAUUUUAAUUGUAUUGCUGUUACUAAUUUUUUGCCUUGAUAACGGAUAUGCAGCGAGUUUUUACCCGUUAAAUUUAUAAUGUUAAAUAAUAUAAUGUAAAUGAGAUCUUAUCUAAUAGGAUAUUGUAAUGGUUCCCCUCCGCCAUGAAAUUAUUGUAAAAUUUCUUGUCAAAGGUUGUUUGUUGCUGGCCAACAGGGGUUUAUGCAUAAGUUGAGGGGGGCAUUUGGUGCACAUGGGGGCGGAUUAGUUGAGCAUAAAUUCUGCAGAGGUGUGGGCUCAGGGGGCAUUCAUAUGUGGUGUUUUUAUUCCAAUAUAUGUGGAAUUGUUAUUUCUUAAUGUAGUCUGCAGGUAAGGUAGAGUACAGUAAGAUCAAAGCUUGAUUUGUUUAUUUGGGGAGGGUUUUACAGAAGGGCUUUGGGUCUGCUAAUGUAGUGUUUUUAAAAUGUGCAAAUUUCUGUGUUGCUUCCUAAGAAAUUUGCUUGUAAGGUCUGAUCUCGGAGAUUGUUGUUUGUCUAAGUGGUGAGGUUGUUUUGAGGUUUUAAAUUUCAGAGGCAUUAUUUUCUGGUUACACAGAUUGAUUUGUAAUUUUCCUCGACGUAAUAUUUGUGCUUGUGAGUUGGAAUUGU